UAGUCCUGGCCGUAAACGAUGGGCACUAGGCAAUGGGCUUACCUAUGAGGUUCAUUGCCGCAGCUAAUGUGUUAAGUGCCCCGCCUGGGGAGUACGCUCGCAAGGGUAAAACUCAAAGGAAUUGACGGGGGGAUCACACAAGCAGUGGAGCAUGUUGUUUAAUUCGAAGCAACGCGAAGAACCUUACCAGGCCUUGACAUGCACGGAUUAGCUUCCUGAAAGGGAAGUGACGCCUCUUCGGAGGUGGAACGUGUGCAGGUGUUGCAUGGCUGUCGUCAGCUCGUGCCGUGAGGUGUUGGGUUAAGUCCCGUAACGAGCGAAACCCUUAUUGUUAGUUGCCAGCGGGUAAUGUCGGGAACUCUAACAAGACUGCCAGUGCAAACUGU
RNAcentral lists this ribosomal RNA (386 nucleotides) under uncultured bacterium. RNAcentral's name for it is "bacterial SSU rRNA". It matches the Rfam family "Bacterial small subunit ribosomal RNA", at positions 791 to 1166 of the family's 1533-position model. The record is from RNAcentral.